This 524-nucleotide unclassified non-coding RNA is filed under the name uncultured Glomeromycotina. RNAcentral describes it as "SSU rRNA". It matches the Rfam family "Eukaryotic small subunit ribosomal RNA", at positions 591 to 1114 of the family's 1831-position model. The record is from RNAcentral. Lineage: Eukaryota; Fungi; Glomeromycota.
CCAAUAGCGUAUAUUAGUGUUGUUGCGGUUAAAAAGCUCGUAGUUGAAUUUCGGGAUUGGGAUAUAUCGGUCAUGCCUUUAGGGGCAUGAAUCGGUGUGUAGCCAAUUUCUCACCUUCUGGUGAAUUGGGAUGCUCUUGGGUGUUUCAAUGAACUAGGACUUUUACUUUGAAAAAAAUAUAGUGUUUAAAGCGGGCAUUUUUGCUUGAAUACAUUAGCAUGGAAUAAUAAAAUAGGACGAUGGUUCUAUUUUGUUGGUUUUAGGACCACGUAAUGAUUAAUAGGGAUAGUGGGGGGCAUUAGUAUUCAAUAGUCAGAGGUGAAAUUCUUGGAUUUAUUGAGGACUAACUACUGCGAAAGCAUUUGCCAAGGAUGUUUUCAUUAAUCAAGAACGAAAGUUAGGGGAUCGAAGACGAUUUAUGUACGUCGUAGUCUUAACCAUAAACUAUGCCGACUAGGAAUCAGACAAAGUUCAUUUUUUAACGACUUGUUUGGUACCUUACGGGAAACCAAAGUGUUUGGUUC